RNAcentral lists this microRNA precursor (97 nucleotides) under Nicotiana sylvestris (wood tobacco). RNAcentral's name for it is "MIR6152 microRNA precursor family". It matches the Rfam family "MIR6152 microRNA precursor family". RNAcentral also lists the same sequence under 1 other name. The record is from Rfam by way of RNAcentral. Lineage: Eukaryota; Viridiplantae; Streptophyta; Magnoliopsida; Solanales; Solanaceae.
UGGACAGAUUAUUGUAUUCGAUUGUAUUCACGGCGUGAAAUAGGGGAUUACACUGUUUUUAAAACGGAAAGUGAAUCAAUUAACAUAAUAGAUUUCU